AGAGUUUGAUCCUGGCUAGGACGAACGCUGGCGGCGUGCCUAACACAUGCAAGUCGAGCGAUGAAACCCUUCGGGGUGGAUUAGCGGCGGACGGGUGAGUAACACGUGGGUAACCUGCCUUAUAGAGGGGGAUAGCCUUCCGAAAGGAAGAUUAAUACCGCAUGAAAUGUUUUUAUCGCAUGGUAGAAACAUCAAAGGAGUAAUCCGCUAUAAGAUGGACCCGCGGCGCAUUAGCUAGUUGGUGAGGUAACGGCCCACCAAGGCGACGAUGCGUAGCCGACCUGAGAGGGUGAUCGGCCACAUUGGAACUGAGACACGGUCCAGACUCCUACGGGAGGCAGCAGUGGGGAAUAUUGCGCAAUGGGGGAAACCCUGACGCAGCAACGCCGCGUGAAUGAAGAAGGCCUUAGGGUUGUAAAGUUCUGUUUUCUGGGACGAUAAUGACGGUACCAGAGGAGGAAGCCACGGCUAACUACGUGCCAGCAGCCGCGGUAAUA
Molecule: ribosomal RNA, 497 nt
Filed under: bacterium enrichment culture clone 40
Lineage: Bacteria
Description: bacterial SSU rRNA
Rfam family: Bacterial small subunit ribosomal RNA
Source: RNAcentral